RNAcentral lists this ribosomal RNA (510 nucleotides) under Microascales sp. SSR-2012a. RNAcentral's name for it is "eukaryotic LSU rRNA". It matches the Rfam family "Eukaryotic large subunit ribosomal RNA", at positions 83 to 596 of the family's 3401-position model. Lineage: Eukaryota; Fungi; Ascomycota; Sordariomycetes; Microascales. The record is from RNAcentral.
GUAACGGCGAGUGAAGCGGCAACAGCUCAAAUUUGAAAUCUGGUCACCUUACGGAGGCCCGAGUUGUAAUUUGAAGAGGAUGCUUUUGGCGAGGUGCCUUCCGAGUGCCCUGGAACGGGACGCCACAGAGGGUGAGAGCCCCGUAUGGUUGGACACCGAGCCUAUGUAAAGCUCCUUCGACGAGUCGAGUAGUUUGGGAAUGCUGCUCAAAAUGGGAGGUAAACCCCUUCUAAAGCUAAAUAUUGGCCAGAGACCGAUAGCGCACAAGUAGAGUGAUCGAAAGAUGAAAAGCACUUUGAAAAGAGAGUUAAACAGCACGUGAAAUUGUUGAAAGGGAAGCGCUUGCGACCAGACUUGCGCCCGUCGGAUCAACCGUCGCUUGUCGGCGGCGCACUCCGGCGGGCUCAGGCCAGCAUCAGUUUUCCCGGGGGGAGAAAGGCGGUGGGAAUGUAGCUCCUAGGAGUGUUAUAGCCCGCCGCGUAAUACCCUCGGGGGGACUGAGGACCGCGC